This 58-nucleotide transfer RNA is filed under the name Boana albopunctata (spotted treefrog). RNAcentral's name for it is "partial tRNA-Tyr". Lineage: Eukaryota; Metazoa; Chordata; Amphibia; Anura; Hylidae. The record is from RNAcentral.
UGAUAAGAAGAGGACUUAAACCUCUGUUGAUGGGGCUACAACCCACCGCCUAACCCUC